RNAcentral lists this ribosomal RNA (900 nucleotides) under Trichoderma sp. DV-2018c. RNAcentral describes it as "LSU rRNA". It matches the Rfam family "Eukaryotic large subunit ribosomal RNA", at positions 37 to 966 of the family's 3401-position model. Lineage: Eukaryota; Fungi; Ascomycota; Sordariomycetes; Hypocreales; Hypocreaceae. The record is from RNAcentral.
AGCAUAUCAAUAAGCGGAGGAAAAGAAACCAACAGGGAUUGCCCCAGUAACGGCGAGUGAAGCGGCAACAGCUCAAAUUUGAAAUCUGGCCCCUCGGGGUCCGAGUUGUAAUUUGUAGAGGAUGCUUUUGGUGAGGUGCCGCCCGAGUUCCCUGGAACGGGACGCCACAGAGGGUGAGAGCCCCGUCUGGCUGGCCGCCGAGCCUCUGUAAAGCUCCUUCGACGAGUCGAGUAGUUUGGGAAUGCUGCUCAAAAUGGGAGGUAUAUGUCUUCUAAAGCUAAAUAUUGGCCAGAGACCGAUAGCGCACAAGUAGAGUGAUCGAAAGAUGAAAAGCACCUUGAAAAGAGGGUUAAAUAGUACGUGAAAUUGUUGAAAGGGAAGCGCUUGUGACCAGACUUGGGCGCGGCGGAUCAUCCGGGGUUCUCUCCGGUGCACUUCGCCGCGUCUGGGCCAGCAUCAGUUCGUCGCGGGGGAAAAAGGCUUCGGGAACGUGGCUCCUCCGGGAGUGUUAUAGCCCGUUGCAUAAUACCCUGCGGUGGACUGAGGACCGCGCAUCUGCAAGGAUGCUGGCGUAAUGGUCACCAGCGACCCGUCUUGAAACACGGACCAAGGAGUCGUCUUCGUAUGCGAGUGUUCGGGUGUCAAACCCCUACGCGUAAUGAAAGUGAACGCAGGUGAGAGCUUCGGCGCAUCAUCGACCGAUCCUGAUGUUCUCGGAUGGAUUUGAGUAAGAGCAUACGGGGCCGGACCCGAAAGAAGGUGAACUAUGCCUGUAUAGGGUGAAGCCAGAGGAAACUCUGGUGGAGGCUCGCAGCGGUUCUGACGUGCAAAUCGAUCGUCAAAUAUGGGCAUGGGGGCGAAAGACUAAUCGAACCUUCUAGUAGCUGGUUUCCGCCGAAU